CUGAGUGAGGGAGCAAUCCCGACCUCCAACCCUUUGUGAACACAUCUUGUUGCUUCGGGGGCGACCCUGCCGCAAGGCAUUUCCCCCCGGAGGUCAUCAAAACACUGCAUUCUUACGUCGGAGUAAAAAGUUAAUUUAAUA
Molecule: unclassified non-coding RNA, 141 nt
Filed under: uncultured Ramularia
Lineage: Eukaryota; Fungi; Ascomycota; Dothideomycetes; Mycosphaerellales; Mycosphaerellaceae
Description: sequence contains ITS1
Source: RNAcentral